GCUGGAGCUAUCGGCUGGAGCUAUCGG
Molecule: small RNA, 27 nt
Filed under: Bombyx mori (domestic silkworm)
Lineage: Eukaryota; Metazoa; Arthropoda; Insecta; Lepidoptera; Bombycidae
Description: ovarian small RNA-5409
Source: RNAcentral